Molecule: ribosomal RNA, 446 nt
Filed under: uncultured bacterium
Lineage: Bacteria
Description: bacterial SSU rRNA
Rfam family: Bacterial small subunit ribosomal RNA
Source: RNAcentral
UCCAGACUCCUACGGGAGGCAGCAGUGGGGGAUAUUGCACAAUGGGGGGAACCCUGAUGCAGCGACGCCGCGUGGGUGAAGGAGCGUUUCGGCGCGUAAAGCCCUAUCGGCAGGGAAGAAGGAGGACGGUACCUGACUAAGAAGCCCCGGCUAACUACGUGCCAGCAGCCGCGGUAAUACGUAGGGGGCAAGCGUUAUCCGGAUUUACUGGGUGUAAAGGGGGCGCAGACGGCAGCGCAAGCCAGGAGUGAAAGCCCGGGGCCCAACCCCGGGACUGCUCUUGGAACUGCGCGGCUGGAGUGCAGGAGGGGCAGGCGGAAUUCCUGGUGUAGCGGUGAAAUGCGUAGAUAUCAGGAGGAACACCGGUGGCGAAGACGGCCUGCUGGACUGCGACUGACGUUGAGGCCCGAAAGCGUGGGGAGCAAACAGGAUUAGAUACCCCUGUA